Long non-coding RNA from Gallus gallus (chicken), 776 nucleotides. NCBI's taxonomy places the organism in Eukaryota, Metazoa, Chordata, Aves, Galliformes, Phasianidae. The record is from Ensembl.
GUGAAAUCUCCAGGUGAGCCUGAUUAGAACCAUUAUGAGCAAUUAAUGCAAUCAGGGCUCUGAUGCUGGGAUCUCAUUUUGCCUGUUUGCGUUGUGGAGUCAUAAGCUCUCUUUAGUUUCAGGAUGUUGCAUGCUAAUCCUGUUACCUUUGGGUGUAGGGAGGAAUUUGGUAGAAUGUAGCAUAGGUGCCCCCAAAGGGCACCUAGCUGAUCAGCAAGCUGCUAGGGAAUGUUCUUCCCAGAGUGAUAAUUUCAAGGAACUACUAUGAAUGUGCCAGCAAUUACCAGAUAUGCCUGGAUUUGACUGGGGAGCAUCAAUUACUCACAACUUGGUCACGCUCAGGAAAAGAGGAAGAGAAGUGGACUCAAUUUAUGGGAAGUUUCUAUGUGCAACUACCAUGAACAGGAAAUGAAUGGAAGAAUAGAAUCUCUAUCUGCAAAAAUGUAUCUUGGUUUACCUUCUAGAUCACAGUGACUGUAGCUCCAUAUAGAAAUGAUUUCCCCAAUACAUCUGAAAAGGAAACUUGAGAAGGAAAAGGAGUAGGUACAUGAUUUUUGGGCCAAAUGUCACAGAAUACUGUUGAUAAGAGACUUGGGAAAAAUUUUAGACAUCCUGUUGUCCUGAAGGUAAUGAAGUAUCAAUGAGGAUCGACCGGUCGAAACUUUGGCUAGAGAGGAAAAAGAAUCUUUCAUUCAAUGCCCUAAGAUAUCUUUGCCAUUAAAAUUCAGCAUGCUUUCAGAAAACAGAUUGAAGAAGGAAUCAAGUACAGUUUUACG